RNAcentral lists this unclassified non-coding RNA (352 nucleotides) under soil metagenome. Its description in RNAcentral is "partial contains 5.8S ribosomal RNA, internal transcribed spacer 2, and large subunit ribosomal RNA". The stretch from base 1 to 120 matches the Rfam family "5.8S ribosomal RNA", at positions 35 to 154 of the family's 154-position model. The record is from RNAcentral.
GAUGAAGAACGUAGCGAAAUGCGAUAAGUAAUGUGAAUUGCAGAAUUCAGUGAAUCAUCGAAUCUUUGAACGCACCUUGCGCCCGCCAGUAUUCUGGCGGGCAUGCCUGUUCGAGCGUCAUUACAACCCUCAGGCCCCCGGGCCUGGCGUUGGGGAUCGGCGGAGCCCCCCGUGGGCACACGCCGUCCCCCAAAUGCAGUGGCGGUCCCGCCGCAGCUUCCAUCGCGUAGUAGCUAACACCUCGCGACUGGAGAGCGGCGCGGCCACGCCGUAAAACACCCAACUCUUCUGAAGUUGACCUCGAAUCAGGUAGGAAUACCCGCUGAACUUAAGCAUAUCAAUAAGCGGAGGA